RNAcentral lists this long non-coding RNA (1688 nucleotides) under Homo sapiens (human). Its description in RNAcentral is "HSALNT0334683". The record is from RNAcentral. Lineage: Eukaryota; Metazoa; Chordata; Mammalia; Primates; Hominidae.
AGCGACAGAGCAAGACUCUGUCUCAAAAAAACAACAACAAGGCCAAAUGUCACCCCAUGAUCUUAACAAGGGAACAGUCAGAAUCCAAAUCCUAAGCACACAAAGCUACUUUCUUAAGGGCAAUGGGAGAGGGAAAUUGUGAUGGCCCCAAGCUAGAACCUAAAUUACACCUUUACUUUAGAACUGAGUAUAGAAGGAUACAUAUCCUAGGGCACAGAUGGGACACCUCUGUCGAUGCUAGAAGAAUUCUAUGUGUGUUUGGAGGUGGCAUAGCAUACCUGUUAGAAAGGCUUUGCUAUUUACUACUGUGGGACCACAAGCAAGUUAUCUCUUUUCUGAACCUCAGUUUCCUCAACUAUAAAAAAGAGAUACGGAUGCUUAGCUAAUAUUGCUGGAAUUGAAUGCAGAAAUGAAAGAAAGCUUUUAGCACAGGGCUUUACCCUAACAGGCACUUACUGUUAAGAGUGGUUUAUUACCAGGUAGGUAACUAAGCAAGGAAGAUGUGUGUUAAUCAAUUUGGCAUGAGAUUUAAAAUUUUAUUACCCAACACAUUAUUUUCACUAAAGUAUCCUUGGUUAAAACUCAGUUAAUACUAGCAUUUAAUAAGAUAACUCAAAUUUCUCCAAAAAAAUGGACAAAUUGGAUGUCUUCAAUUCACUUGACUUACAAAAUGGUUUUAAUAUGAGAAUUGUCUAGUCAUAAGUUGUCACUCAAGAACAAAAAUUAUCUGUUCUGGCACUAACUGGCAUGUGAUUCUGGUGAGGCACAUCAUGACUCUGGGUCUCCUCUACAAGGAGGGGGUUGUGGGAGUGCCCUGGUUCCUUCCAUCUUGAACAUUCGUGAUUCCAAAGUAGCACUCCAGCAUAGCCCUGAUUUACUUCUAGUUCCUUUCCUUUUCAGGACAUUGACAUAAAGUAGAACUUGCUUCCAAUACGUCUUAAAGGUUAAAUGUUACACACAGCGUACAGUCAAUGCAAGGAGGCCUGCACACAGGGAACUUCUGUCUAGGACUGCGGCCGGUAAGACCUUCCUGUGUGGACCACAGCACUGCUCAGGAAAGCUGCCUGCAGGAGCUGUGAAGUUGCAGAAUUUUGGUUUAUUGGGAUGCAUCCUGGUGCUUGCCUACAGAUCUUGUUUUGCAAAGUGCAGAGGCAAUACAUGGAGAUGCAGCAGCCAUCUUGUGACCAUGAGGACAAAGAUCAUUUACCAAGGAUGACAGAAGAGAAAGUUAGCAAGAGCCUUGACCCCUGAUGAGGUGAAGUCAUUUCACCAGCCUAUCACAGCUUCUAGUCUUCUUGGGAAUCCAUUCCACCCUGAAACAUUUUGGGGCCUGUACUAGAUACUAGAGACACAAAGGAGACUAGAACAUUCUCUGUCGUUGAAUUAUUCUCAGUCAAAUGAAGACGGAAACUGUGGUCUGAAAAUUUUGAAUAAUAAAGCCAUUUGUGACAGCGACACAGCUCAUAUUGGAAGUGGAACUUACAUUUCCUGACUCAUAAUGAAGACCUUUAUGCUCAACACCACAUACAAAACAUGUGCGAUGUAUAAAAUGGAUGUUGCAAAUUCAUCCCACCUCCUGCUGCAGCUAUGAUACUCAGAGAAAUGAGAAUAUUCAAAACCUUCUCUUCUAAACAACCCACCAAAUGAGAGAAAAUAUUUGCAAACUACACGUCUGACAAAGGAUUAAU